RNAcentral lists this transfer RNA (103 nucleotides) under Candidatus Micrarchaeum sp. AZ1. It matches the Rfam family "tRNA". Rfam says of the family: Transfer RNA (tRNA) molecules are approximately 80 nucleotides in length. Their secondary structure includes four short double-helical elements and three loops (D, anti-codon, and T loops). Further hydrogen bonds mediate the characteristic L-shaped molecular structure. tRNAs have two regions of fundamental functional importance: the anti-codon, which is responsible for specific mRNA codon recognition, and the 3' end, to which the tRNAs corresponding amino acid is attached (by aminoacyl-tRNA synthetases). tRNAs cope with the degeneracy of the genetic code in two manners: having more than one tRNA (with a specific anti-codon) for a particular amino acid; and 'wobble' base-pairing, i.e. permitting non-standard base-pairing at the 3rd anti-codon position. Lineage: Archaea; Nanobdellati; Microcaldota; Candidatus Micrarchaeia; Candidatus Micrarchaeales; Candidatus Micrarchaeaceae. The record is from Rfam by way of RNAcentral.
GCAGGGAUGGCGGAGCCUGGUCAAACGCGACGGACUCAAGAUCCGUUGGCUUAGGUCUACGGGAGUUCAAAAUAAUAUUUAUGGACAAAUCUCCCUCCCUGCA